Molecule: ribosomal RNA, 1388 nt
Filed under: uncultured bacterium
Lineage: Bacteria
Description: bacterial SSU rRNA
Rfam family: Bacterial small subunit ribosomal RNA
Source: RNAcentral
ACGAACGCUGGCGGCGUGGAUUNGGCAUGCAAGUCGAACGAGAAUCUGAGAGUUCAAGUUUUCGGACAAGAACUUUUGGAGGAAAGUGGCGGAAGGGUGAGUACAACAUGGAUAAUCUACCUUCAAGUUGGGUAUAGCUUCCCGAAAGGGGAGAUAAUCCCGAAUGUGGUGAUCCGGCGCAUGCCGGAGAAUCUAAAGGCGGGGACCGCAAGGCCUGUCGCUUGGAGAUGAGUCCGUGCACUAUCAGCUUGUUGGCGGGGUAAUGGCCCACCAAGGCUUUGACGGUUAGCUGGUCUGAGAGGAUGGUCAGCCACACUGGGACUGAGAUACUGCCCAGACUCCUACGGGAGGCUGCAGUCGAGAAUCAUUCGCAAUGGGCGAAAGCCUGACGGUGCGACGUCGCGUGGAGGAUGAAGGUCUUCGGAUUGUAAACUCCUGUCAUGUGGGAGAAAUGGCCCGGGUCUGAACAGGACCUGGGAAUGAUAGUACCACAGGAGGAAGGGACGGCUAACUCUGUGCCAGCAGCCGCGGUAAUUCAGAGGUCCCGAGCGUUGUUCGGAUUUACUGGGCGUAAAGGGUGCGUAGGCGGCCGAGUAAGUCAGCGGUGAAAUUUUGCAGCUUAACUGUAACAGUGCCGUUGAUACUGCAUGGCUAGGAUUUGGUUGCUGUGGGUGGAAUGUGUGGUGUAGCGGUGAAAUGCUUAGAUAUCACACAGAAUAUCGAUUGCGAAGGCAGCUCACAAAGCCAAGAUUGACGCUGAGGCACGAAAGUGUGGGGAUCAAACAGGAUUAGAUACCCUGGUAGUCCACACUGUAAACGAUGAUAACUCACUGCCGGCGAUACACAGUCGGUGGCCAAGCGAAAGCGAUAAGUUAUCCACCUGGGGAGUACGACCGCAAGGUUGAAACUCAAAGGAAUUGACGGGGGCCCGCACAAGCGGAGGAACAUGUGGUUUAAUUCGAUGAUACGCGAGGAACCUUACCCGGGCUCGAACGGUGCAUGAAUAAGCAAGAGAUUGUUUAGUCCUUCGGGACAUGUAUCGAGGUGCUGCAUGGUUGUCGUCAGCUCGUGCCGUGAGGUGUCGGCUUAAGUGCCAUAACGAGCGCAACCCUUGUUGUUAGUUACCAACAGGUAAAGCUGGGGACUCUAACGAGACUGCCACCGUAAGGUGUGAGGAAGGGGGGGAUGACGUCAAAUCAGCACGGCCCUUAUGUCCGGGGCGACACACGUGUUACAAUGGGGGGUACAGAGGGCAGCCAUCCGGUGACGGAGCGCCAAUCUCCAAAACCCUUCUCAGUUCGGAUUGGAGUCUGCAACCCGACUCCAUGAAGUUGGAUUCGCUAGUAAUCGCGCAUCAGCCAUGGCGCGGUGAAUACGUUCCCGGGCCU